RNA transcript from Epinephelus fuscoguttatus (brown-marbled grouper), 2149 nucleotides. RefSeq lists it as uncharacterized. Lineage: Eukaryota; Metazoa; Chordata; Actinopteri; Perciformes; Serranidae. The record is from RefSeq and is a predicted model, not a curated record. The transcript has 7 exons.
GCCUGUUCUUCACGUGCUGCGACGGUGACCAAUCAGGUCCACGCAUGCGGGAAGACCCCGCCCGCGCGGCAACUCGUGUCGCGCGCCUCAUCAUCAUCAGUGUUGUAUUGGCGGUGAGGAGUCGACAAAAGUUGUAACCGUCCUGAACUCACACGACAGGCUUCACAACAGCGCGGGGUUUUGUAGUAGUGAGUUAAAGCAAAGUGCGUUUGUCGUGUGUGGCUUCACGGCUUUGAAGACGCUGUCGUGUUCACCAGGUACCGCCGUGGAGAAAUUGCUGCCGGGCACUCCGUGGGGUUUAAAGUUCAGCUAACAGUAGCGUCACUAGCAGCGAGUUAGCCCCGUGUCUUCACAUUAGUUUUGUCACAAUGGCAGCUGUGUGCCAGCCACGACGAGCCCUGGUGGAAAUACCUCCUCCGCAGCCCAAAAUCGCAGCUCGAAUGAGGAGGUCCUAUCUAGAAAUUUUAAGCGCUCGUUUGGCUCCAUCUCCAUUUCCAAGAGGGAGAAAAGCAACCACACACACCAAGCGUGUGCACUCAUUGGACUUGUCCAUUGGUGGGGUGUGGAGUGGGAGGAUAGAGGAACAGUGUGAUAAGAUGGACGAACCCCAUACCCCUCUCUCCAAACAGCAGCUUGUGCAGCUAAUCCGAUCCCUCAUCUUAGUCGAGCAGAGCCAAGAACCGAGGAUCCUGGCAUCCGACCUGAAGUCUCUCCAGGAAGACCUGCAGUUGAAGAAAGCAAAUGUUUACCGGUCGAUACCAUAUUCACGGCUCGGCUCCAACAGGGAUGCUCACUGCUAUAGAAAGGCAUAUCCUCACCUGGUGGCGUUCAAAGUUUCGUGUCAGGAGUGGGGCCAAGUUCUUCUGAGGAACAAAGAGUGGGACGCUGUGUUGGAGCACACACUGAUGGCGUGGCGCUACACCAGCGAGUUGCCGCAGUGGGAUACGGCGAGCCAUAACGCUCUCCGGGAACAGUGUUACAGCAUCUUGGCAGCUCAGAGCCUCACUGCUCUGCAGCACUUACACCCCGGGCCCAACAGAGGACGCGAGCUGCUCAGAAGGUCAGUUGGAUACUAAGAUUUGCUGAAGGCUUCCCACAAUCCUCUGAACAGCCUGAUCCUUAAGCAGCAAAGGUCAUCUCAGGUUCCUGGGGAAACCAGGCGACAGCAAACCUUGAUUUAUGCAAAUGAUUACCUUUUUUAAAUCUGUUAAGCAUUUAUGAGCCAUACAGGCUUAAUCUGCGAUAUGCUUCAUGUACUAUCGCCUCCCACGUUGGAUUUGCUAACGUGCUGGCAGCCAAUUUCCGACUUAAAUAUCCAGCUGAAGCAGUGCAGCAUGGGCAUCCUACUGGAGUCCUGUUUGUCACCUGUUGAAUGUUGAAAAUGGCUCAGUUGCACAGCCAGUCGAUUGUGCCCUGCAUUCAGGAGCUGCAGAGGAUUAUGGGAUGUGCUGAUGACUCCUCCAUGGACACAAAAUAACAGGAGAAACACUAUCUGACCAGCUGGCUGCACCCUGGUGAACAGUGUGCUUCAUUGAUGGCCUUAAUAAUUUCUACGUGGUACAGGGCCGGAAUCCUUGUGCAUGGUGGUGCUUGUUUGGAGAAACCACUACAGUAUUCUUCCAAAGGUCAGGGUAGCAAUGGAAAACGUGCCACAUAGCACAGGUUUGUAAAGGUGAUGACAGCAAAAUGCAAUAAAACCUCUUAUUUAAUCACAUUGCAUUUUUAUAUGAACUGGAAAGUGUUGUUAGUAGUGGAACAUUUGUUGCACGGCACACCUCAUGAUGUAUUUAUUGUUGGUUGGUGUAAGGGUAUGCUGAUAUUUUAUCUAACAGCCUAUUCCAAAAAAUGUAUUGCCUUUGGAGGAACAUUGAUGCGAGUGAUGUCAUUAAAAUAUUUGUAUUUUUUUAGAACUUUGUACAGAAUAACUUGCAUUGAGCAGUGUGAAAUGGCCUUUGGUGUUGCUGUAUAAGUGUGUGUGUGUCCUUGUUAGCGUUUAUGAUACUUGAAACUGUGGCCUUAGCCGUCUCUGAAUAUAGUUGUGUUUAUGUGUGUCUUGUUUAUAGGGUAUUGUCCGUGUCACUGAUUGCACUGUUGCCGUCUGUCCUGAAAACUUGAAAAUUUUUGAUAAAAUAGUCGCUUAUUUCAAUAA